This 307-nucleotide unclassified non-coding RNA is filed under the name plant metagenome. RNAcentral's name for it is "partial contains 5.8S ribosomal RNA, internal transcribed spacer 2, and large subunit ribosomal RNA". The stretch from base 1 to 105 matches the Rfam family "5.8S ribosomal RNA", at positions 50 to 154 of the family's 154-position model. The record is from RNAcentral.
GAAAUGCGAUAAGUAGUGUGAAUUGCAGAAUUCAGUGAAUCAUCGAAUCUUUGAACGCACAUUGCGCCCCUCGGUAUUCCGUGGGGCAUGCCUGUUCGAGCGUCAUCUACACCCUCAAGCUCUGCUUGGUGUUGGGCGUCUGUCCCACCUCCGCGCGCGGACUCGCCCCAAAUGCAUUGGCAGCGGUUCCUUGCCCCCCUCUUUGCGCAGCACAUUGCCAUUCGAGGCGGCGGCGGCCCGCGUCCAACAAGCUCAACCCCCCCGUCUUUGACCUCGGAUCAGGUAGGGAUACCCGCUGAACUUAAGC